GUCCUGGCCGUAAACCAUGGGCACUGGGUAGGGGGCUCGCCGAUGGGCUCCCUGCCGCAGCGAAAGCGUGAAGUGCCCCGCCUGGGGAGUAUGGUCGCAAGGCUGAAACUCAAAGGAAUUGACGGGGGCUCACACAAGCGGUGGAGCAUGUGGCUUAAUUCGAGGCUACGCGCAAAACCUUAUCCCGGGCUUGACAUGCACGGAUUAGCCGGCGGAAACGUCGGUGACGCGCAAGUGGAACGUGCACAGGUGCUGCAUGGCUGUCGU
This 267-nucleotide ribosomal RNA is filed under the name uncultured bacterium. RNAcentral describes it as "partial 16S ribosomal RNA". It matches the Rfam family "Bacterial small subunit ribosomal RNA", at positions 793 to 1055 of the family's 1533-position model. The record is from RNAcentral.